This 395-nucleotide ribosomal RNA is filed under the name uncultured Alphaproteobacteria bacterium. RNAcentral describes it as "bacterial SSU rRNA". It matches the Rfam family "Bacterial small subunit ribosomal RNA", at positions 1076 to 1494 of the family's 1533-position model. The record is from RNAcentral. Lineage: Bacteria; Pseudomonadati; Pseudomonadota; Alphaproteobacteria.
UGGGUUAAGUCCCGCAACGAGCGCAACCCUCAUCCCUAAUUGCCAUCACGUUGGGGUGGGCACUUUAGGGGAACUGCCAGCGCCAAGCUGGAGGAAGGCGGGGAUGACGUCAAGUCCUCAUGGCCCUUACGCGUAGGGCUACACACGUGCUACAAUGGCAGUGACAAUGGGAUAAUCCCCAAAAGCUGUCUCAGUUCGGAUUGCCGACUGCAACUCGUCGGCAUGAAGUUGGAAUCGCUAGUAAUCGUGGAUCAGCAUGCCACGGUGAAUACGUUCCCGGGCCUUGUACACACCGCCCGUCACAUCAUGGGAGUUGGUUCUACCCGAAGACUGUGCGCUAACUUUGGAGGCAGCAGGCCACGGUAGGAUCAGCGACUGGGAUGAAGUCGUAACAA